UUCACCAGAAGGCGGUUAAGUGACCCGGUUCACCUGGUCAGGCCUGCGCUGCCGCUCCUCCAGCGGUUCUGCUCCGGGCCAAGGGGGAGGCGCCGCCACGUACUGCGGCUCCCGAGGCGGCGAGGCCGGCCACCUCAGCGAGCGGCCCGCUGCGCCCUCCGCUGUCACCCGACCGUCGCCGCGGCCACCGACGACUCUGUUAGGACGAGGGCCUGGAACACGGGCCUGACGUGGGCCUGGGCCUGGAACACGGGCCUAGCCCCUGACGCCGAGCCGGUCCUUCCGGAAAGGCUUCGUCCCAGGAUCCCUCGGGCUAGGAGCGGCCGCGGCAGCUACUGCGGCUGCGCGGCCGCCGGAGCGCGUCAGUGGGCGGACGUGUGGGGGAUGGGGAGGAAGAGCGCGGGAGGCGCCCAGGGUGGGCGUUGGGGAGGGGUGGCUGUGCGGGGAGCCCGCAAGCUGGCCUCUCCGGGUCGCUCCGCACGCGGAAUUCAGUCGGCCGGAACAGGUGCACCUCGCUGUGGGAGAUGCUGCUUGCAGAGUCUACGUGGAUUCCCCGUGGAACUCCCGCUCUGCUCAAAGGCUACUCAACUUCCCCGAGACUCCGUUUUCUCAAAUGGAACAUGGAGUAAAAAUAUUUGUAGAGCUGAUAAACUGGCUUGA
Molecule: long non-coding RNA, 660 nt
Filed under: Ursus thibetanus thibetanus
Lineage: Eukaryota; Metazoa; Chordata; Mammalia; Carnivora; Ursidae
Description: lncRNA (ENSUTTG00000008716.1)
Source: RNAcentral